CGACGCUCGGAGGCCGGUAUCGGAGCGAGGCAUCAUCCACGCGAUAUCAUCACAGCCGAUUGAAAAACUGGCCCAUUUUGAUGAAGUGGCCCAUGUGGAUAAAGUUGAGUGAAGUGACCUGUGUUUUUAUUACUUACUCUGUGUUUCACAGUCAAGUGUGUUUGUGUCAUGUUUCAAAAAUGGCCGCUUCAAACGACUCGACAAUAUGAUCAUACGUCAGGAGCCUGGUUAGGAGAGGAGAGGAAUAACCAUUUUAAGCAGCAUCAAGAAAGGGGUUAUUUUCUAGGAAAUCAUUACAG
Cimex lectularius (bed bug) is the source of this 299-nucleotide long non-coding RNA. RefSeq lists it as uncharacterized. The record is from RefSeq and is a predicted model, not a curated record. The transcript is spliced from 3 exons. NCBI's taxonomy places the organism in Eukaryota, Metazoa, Arthropoda, Insecta, Hemiptera, Cimicidae.